UUUCGUUAAAGUGAACAGUACCGGGUGCUUUUCGUUAAAGUUCCCUUUAUCUAAUCGUAGUUCCUCAAUUUUAAAGAUGUCUAAUAUUCGACUUGAUAAAUAAAGGCUAAUAUGCUCAUUGUAGUGGUUUAAUGUUGUUGUUAUUUCUUCACCUUUGUAUAGAUAACAAAAAAAGUCUUUUACUUGAAGGCAAGUGAUUUUCACAUUUUCUUUUUAAAAUCUAACACACUUAUUUUUAUAUAUGGUCAUCAAAUUAAAUAAAUUAAGCUAAAUCAAUAUCCAAAAUUAAAAAUUAUGUAAGAGACUAAAUAAAAUAUUUGAAAAUCAUUUUCUUGUUCCUAGUACACCAACAUAACAUAUAGGACAAUAGGCAGUGGCAGAGCCAGUUGGAGGCCAAGAUAGGGCCAAGUCCAUCCUGGAACUUCACCAAUAUAUAUAUUGUCUGCUUCUUUAUCCUAAAGAGCAUGUGGUAUAUUGGUGAUUAGAGUUUGACAAUACUAAAGGUUCGAAACUUGUUGUAGCCAAGAACCUUCCGUAAUUUGUUAACCCAACCUCAUAACUAGCAUUAUGUUUUACCAUAUAAAAUUGAAUUCCGUUUUUUGGCCGGUUCAUAUAAAUAAAGUUUUGUUGCAGUCUUAUUAGAUUAGAAAUGUGAUUGUAUAAAUCAUAAUGUAUCUAGGGAUAUCUUAGAAUAUUCUCUAGGGUUAGAUAUUAUCCUAUUUGAGUUGUAAUCCUAUUAGGGUAAGGAUUUAACAUUCCCUACUACAUAAAUAAAUGCACAAUGCAAUGGAAAAGAACACACCUCACAAUUACACAUCUCUCUUUUCUCUCUUUAUGCCACACUCCCUCUCUUUUUGGCCUUCAUAAUUGUUCAGUAAAUUAUGCUUACAACACGUUAUUAGUACGCUCAUGACGCUACGCUAAAGAGAAUUUGAUCCUCAAUCAGGGGAGUAUUACGUUUUAAUUAUUUUUUUAUGAUUAAUUUAUUAUUUUAUUGAAUUGAGCUACAUGCUAUUGAUUCAAUUUAAUUUUUCUUUGUUGGACGUGAUACAACGUAUUAGAGAUACAAUUCCGGCUUUCCGAGAAGGAUCUUCUACAAGUUCAAAAGCUCAAAUGUUUUUUGCCAAUCAUGUUCUUUUAAAAUAAAUUAAGAUAUUUGAAACGAUCGUGAAACAUGAAAACAAUCCCCAUGAUGCAUGAACCUCCUAUAUUUAUAUUUUCCUUUCAAUUAUAUAUAUUGCAUAUGUGUUCAUAUAUUUUGUCAAUAAAUAUAUUUGUUCAUUCAAUAUGCAAUUAUAAUAUGUGGAAUUUGUAAGUCAAAGAAUCGAAAGAAAAUAGAAGCAAUUAGGAUUUUAUCAAACCCUAGAUUUUUCAAAAUG
This 1379-nucleotide long non-coding RNA is filed under the name Malus domestica (apple). RNAcentral describes it as "long non-coding RNA (MDOM_LNC003913)". The record is from RNAcentral. Lineage: Eukaryota; Viridiplantae; Streptophyta; Magnoliopsida; Rosales; Rosaceae.